UACGAGGGGGGCAAGCGUUGUUCGGAAUUAUUGGGCGUAAAGGGUGCGUAGGCGGUCUGAUAAGUCAUCUGUGAAAUCUAUGGGCUCAACCCCAUAGUCUGCAGGCGAAACUGUCGGGCUUGAGUAUGGGAGAGGUGAGGUGGAAUUUCCGGUGUAGCGGUGAAAUGCGUAGAUAUCGGAAGGAACACCUGUGGCGAAAGCAAGCUCACUGGACCAUUACUGACGCUGAUGCACGAAAGCUAGGGGAGCAAACAGG
Molecule: ribosomal RNA, 256 nt
Filed under: uncultured bacterium
Lineage: Bacteria
Description: partial 16S ribosomal RNA
Rfam family: Bacterial small subunit ribosomal RNA
Source: RNAcentral